This 74-nucleotide transfer RNA is filed under the name Omnitrophica WOR_2 bacterium SM23_29. RNAcentral's name for it is "tRNA-Gln". It matches the Rfam family "tRNA". Rfam says of the family: Transfer RNA (tRNA) molecules are approximately 80 nucleotides in length. Their secondary structure includes four short double-helical elements and three loops (D, anti-codon, and T loops). The record is from RNAcentral. Lineage: Bacteria; Pseudomonadati; Candidatus Omnitrophota.
UGCCCGGUGGUGUAAUGGUAACACACCAGAAUUUGGGUCUGAGGUUCGAGGUUCGAGUCCUCGCCGGGCAACCA